Molecule: transfer RNA, 33 nt
Filed under: Ajania pallasiana
Lineage: Eukaryota; Viridiplantae; Streptophyta; Magnoliopsida; Asterales; Asteraceae
Description: partial tRNA-Phe
Source: RNAcentral
UUGGGAUAGCUCAGUGUAGAGCAGAAGUCCGCU